UAUUCCAUUAUCAGUCAGUUCGUGGUAGUAAAACUAUCACCUGGUCGGCAUGGCGAUAAUUAUAUUUUACAUGGUUUUGGUUAUACUCAUCCUAUGCACGCUAAAAGAGCCAGUAGUUGGCAUUCCAACUUGGCUUUUAGGUACGUUCGUUGUAUUUUUGCGUUUGUGGAUGGUAACUAUGAAUUAAUGUUGUUCAGAAGCGGAAAAUAUCACCCUAGAAGAAACAAAUUUACAAUAGUGUAUAAUACACUCAGAUGAAAUACGGUAUGAGUAAAUUGUAUGACUAAAA
Molecule: long non-coding RNA, 289 nt
Organism: Zophobas morio
Lineage: Eukaryota; Metazoa; Arthropoda; Insecta; Coleoptera; Tenebrionidae
Exons: 2
Source: RefSeq, a predicted model, not a curated record